AAAGCCUGAACCGGGCAACUGGGUUUCUUGGAUUUUACCUUGUUUAUAAAGUGCCUGGGAACUGGGACUUUCUUUUGAUCUCUCAUUUGUUUUCUCUUCAUUAUUUGAGGAAGCAGAGCAUUACCCAUUUCUUCUCUUCUUCUCUUUCGCUUUAAUCAUUGAGUUUUCCCCCCACUGGUUUUAGCAUAAAAUCAGAGCGUUCUUAGAAACUUAUACUUGGCUCUUUCCAGAAAACUUCGUUUGUAGGAUUCUUUCUAUCUCCAACAUUCACAUUCUAUUACGAGCGAAACCCAGAAGACAUCGAUUGAUAGUUUAAUAAAGAGGAAUCGAAAUCGACAAUUAUUGCCAUAAAAAUUUGGAAAGCUUUAUGAAUUUGUGAAACAAUG
RNAcentral lists this unclassified non-coding RNA (386 nucleotides) under Hevea brasiliensis (rubber tree). Lineage: Eukaryota; Viridiplantae; Streptophyta; Magnoliopsida; Malpighiales; Euphorbiaceae. The record is from RNAcentral.